Molecule: ribosomal RNA, 253 nt
Filed under: uncultured bacterium
Lineage: Bacteria
Description: partial 16S ribosomal RNA
Rfam family: Bacterial small subunit ribosomal RNA
Source: RNAcentral
UACGUAGGGACCAAGCGUUGUUCGGAUUUACUGGGCGUAAAGGGCGCGUAGGCGGCGUGGUAAGUCACUUGUGAAAUCUCUGAGCUUAACUCAGAACGGCCAAGUGAUACUGCUGUGCUAGAGUGCAGAAGGGGCAAUCGGAAUUCUUGGUGUAGCGGUGGAAUGCGUAGAGAUCGGAAAGAACACCAACGGCGAAAGCACUCUGCUGGGCCGACACUGACACUGAGAGACGAAAGCUAGGGGAGCGAAUGGG